AUCUAGCCUACGAGUUUCAAAUAGGACGAAACGCGUGUCCUUGAU
Molecule: non-coding RNA, 45 nt
Organism: Schistosoma haematobium
Lineage: Eukaryota; Metazoa; Platyhelminthes; Trematoda; Strigeidida; Schistosomatidae
Source: Rfam